GGGGAUUUAGCUCAGCGGCAUAAGCGCCUGCCUUGCAAACAGGCAGUCGUGAGUUCAAUCCCCG
Transfer RNA from Cavia porcellus (domestic guinea pig), 64 nucleotides. It matches the Rfam family "tRNA". Rfam says of the family: Transfer RNA (tRNA) molecules are approximately 80 nucleotides in length. The record is from Rfam. NCBI's taxonomy places the organism in Eukaryota, Metazoa, Chordata, Mammalia, Rodentia, Caviidae.